GUUGGAAACGGCAGCUAAGACCCCAUAGGCUUGAUGAAGUUAGAGUUAAUCAAGUAAAACUAUAGGUGCUCUGGGAGGGGUCUGCGGGCUAUCAGCUAGUUGGUGGGGUGAAGGCCUACCAAGGCGAAGACGGCUAGGGGGCGUGAGAGCGUGGCCCCCCACAAUGGGACUGAGACACGGCCCAUACUCCUACGGGAGGCAGCAGUGAGGAAUAUUGCACAAUGGGGGCAACCCUGAUGCAGCAAUGCCGCGUGGGUGAAGAAGGUUUUCGGAUCGUAAAGCCCUUUUCUGGGGGAAGAGAGAGGACGGUACCUCAGGAAUAAGUCCCGGCUAACUACGUGCCAGCAGCCGCGGUAAAACGUAGGGGGCGAGCGUUAUCCGGAAUUACUGGGCGUAAAGCGCAUGCAGGCGGUUUGAUAAGAUAGACGUGAAAGCUCCUGGCUUAACUGGGAGAGGACGUUUAUGACUGUCAGACUUGAGAUAGGUAGAGGAGAGUGGAAUUCCCGGUGUAGUGGUGGAAUGCGUAGAGAUCGGGAGGAACACCAGAGGCGAAAGCGGCUCUCUGGGCCUAAUCUGACGCUCAGAUGCGAAAGCGUGGGUAGCGAACGGGAUUAGAUACCCCGGUAGUCCACGCUGUAAACGAUGGUGACUAGGUGUAGCGGGUAUUGACCCCUGCUGUGCCGCAGCAAACGCGGUAAGUCACCCGCCUGGGUACUACGGUCGCAAGACUAAAGCUCAAAGGAAUUGACGGGGGCCCGCACAAGCAGCGGAGCGUGUGGUUUAAUUCGAUGAUACGCGAA
Molecule: ribosomal RNA, 800 nt
Filed under: uncultured bacterium
Lineage: Bacteria
Description: bacterial SSU rRNA
Rfam family: Bacterial small subunit ribosomal RNA
Source: RNAcentral